CCUACGGGUGGCAGCAGUGGGGAAUAUUGCACAAUGGGGGAAACCCUGAUGCAGCGACGCCGCGUGAGUGAAGAAGUAAUUCGUUAUGUAAAGCUCUAUCAGCAGGGGAGAAAAUGACGGUACCUGAGUCAGAAGCCCCGGCUAACUACGUGCCAGCAGCCGCGGUAAUACGUAGGGGGCAAGCGUUAUCCGGAUUUACUGGGUGUAAAGGGAGCGUAAACGGCAGUGCAAGGCUGGAGUGAAAGGCGGGGGCUCAAACCCCGGACUGCUCUGGAAACUGUACGGCUGGAGUGCAGGAGAGGUAAGUGGAAUUCCUAGUGUAGCGGUGAAAUGCGUAGAUAUUAGGAGGAACACCAGUGGCGAAGGCGGCUUACUCGACUGUAACUGACGUUGAGGCUCGAAAGCGUGGGGAGCAAACAGGAUUAGAUACCCUUGUAGUC
RNAcentral lists this ribosomal RNA (440 nucleotides) under uncultured bacterium. RNAcentral describes it as "partial 16S ribosomal RNA". It matches the Rfam family "Bacterial small subunit ribosomal RNA", at positions 338 to 795 of the family's 1533-position model. The record is from RNAcentral.